CUGCCCCACAUGCGGGCUUUCGUAAUUUCUCAUACAUUAGUGGCUCGACAACUAAAGGAACAAUGGACUGUAGCCCUGGGUUCCUUCGCAUUGGUACCCUGCCGAUGAUGUGCAGGGGUGGAGACAAGUGGAGUGCUGAAUGCAAAGCCGGUUGCUUCCUGCCCGUAAUUGCCAAUGGUUCUGUCGCGGGGGAGAAUGAAUUAAAUGGAAAGUUUCUCCAGUACCGAGUCAAGUGUUCUGAAGGCUUUCACCUGUCAACAGACACCUAUAUUAUGGCAUGUAAUGAAACUACAUGGAACUUCACAAACCCGCCAACAUGUGAUAGUAUUCUUCGGACAGCCGACUACUCCGAACCUGUUCGUUGCAAAAAUCUCACGCUUCACUAUGCGAAGUAUGGCGAACUCGAAAAUUCCUCUGAAGCACUUGCAAUGUGCCAAUCAAUGGGAAUGGACUUGCCCACAAUG
This is a long non-coding RNA of Sycon ciliatum, 464 nucleotides long. RefSeq lists it as uncharacterized. The record is from RefSeq and is a predicted model, not a curated record. NCBI's taxonomy places the organism in Eukaryota, Metazoa, Porifera, Calcarea, Leucosolenida, Sycettidae. The transcript has 3 exons.